Molecule: ribosomal RNA, 468 nt
Filed under: uncultured bacterium
Lineage: Bacteria
Description: partial 16S ribosomal RNA
Rfam family: Bacterial small subunit ribosomal RNA
Source: RNAcentral
GACGAACGCUGGCGGCGUGCUUAACACAUGCAAGUCGAACGGAAAGGCCAUGCUUUUGUUGGGUGCUCGAGUGGCGAACGGGUGUGUAACACGUGAGUAACCUGCCCCUGACUUUGGGAUAACUUCAGGAAACUGGGGCUAAUACCGGAUAGGAGCUCCUGCAGCAUGGUGGUGAUUGGAAAGAUUCGGCGGUUGGGGCUGGACUCGCGGCUUAUCAGCUUGUUGGUGGGGUAGUGGCUUACCAAGGCUUUGACGGGUAGCCGGCAUGAGAGGGUGGCCGGCCACCAGGGGCCUGCGGUACGGCCCAGACGCCUACGGGAGGCAGCAGUGGGGAAUAUUGCACAAUGGGCGGAAGCCUGAUGCAGCAACGCCGCGUGCGGGAUGACGUCCUUCGGGUUGUAAACCGCUUUCGCCUUUGACGAAGCGUGAGUGACGGUAAUGGGUAAAGAAGCACCGGCUAACUACGUG